Molecule: ribosomal RNA, 246 nt
Filed under: uncultured euryarchaeote
Lineage: Archaea; Methanobacteriati; Methanobacteriota
Description: partial 16S ribosomal RNA
Rfam family: Archaeal small subunit ribosomal RNA
Source: RNAcentral
AGCGCCACGAGUGGCAACCGUGUAUUUGGCCUAAAGCGUCCGUAGCUGGUAUAAUAAAUCCUUUGUGAAAUUGUUGGGCCUAACCUAACAUCGUGCAGAGGACACUGUUAUGCUUGAGACCGGGAGGGGUUAGAGGUAUUUCUGGGGGAGCGGUAAAAUGCUAUAAUCCCAGGAAGACCACCUGUGGCGAAGGCGUCUAACCAGAACGGAUCUGACAGUGAGGGACGAAAGCCAGGGGAGCAAACC